CUUGAUCGACCCGAGCCACAGCGGCCGCUCCUCGGCGUCCCGCUCGCGCCCGUAGGUCGACAGCAGAGCCUGUGCCUC
This 78-nucleotide antisense RNA is filed under the name Streptomyces sp. PRh5. RNAcentral's name for it is "ASpks sRNA". It matches the Rfam family "ASpks TB sRNA". The record is from RNAcentral. Lineage: Bacteria; Bacillati; Actinomycetota; Actinomycetes; Kitasatosporales; Streptomycetaceae.